This is a long non-coding RNA of Lathyrus oleraceus (garden pea), 732 nucleotides long. RefSeq lists it as uncharacterized. NCBI's taxonomy places the organism in Eukaryota, Viridiplantae, Streptophyta, Magnoliopsida, Fabales, Fabaceae. The record is from RefSeq and is a predicted model, not a curated record. The transcript has 2 exons.
AAUAUAAAUUAAACAUAAUCAAAGAAGGGAUUCAGGAUUGUUAGCAAGAACAUCAUUAGACCAAGGGUGAAUUAAUUGAAGGGAGGUGUGCAACGAAAGUUGCUUUGGACCAAAGGCCCAACCUCCAAAUAUCCAAAUUGGGUUCAAGAACAACCACCCAAGAUCUGCCUCCAUAGAAGCACCUUCACAAGAAAGGCAUCGGUUCAAAGAAGAAUAAAGGACAACUUUCACGGUGUCGAAAAAAAUGCUCAGUGGCAUUCGCAACUCAAUGAACAUCUCAUCUCAACAUCCGAUGUACUCUUCUGUUCGUGGUUGAUUGAGAUGAAGAUGAAGCUUCACGUUAGUGCAUUUCCCCUUGAGAUGGAGAUGAAGAUAUUCAGAUUCAUGUGUGUUGCAUUGAGAUGAAAAUGAAGACGUUCAGAUGCAUGCGUUGUGAAUUGGUUAUGAUUUUUGUUAUGGAAUUGCUUUGGUUUGGACACAGAUAUGGAUCAUUGCAUUGGAAUUUCUUGUUGAAAGUUGCUUGCUUGGAUGUUUGGGAAUUGAUUGGAACUAUGCAUUGGAUUAUUGUAAUUUUGUUGUAACAUGACUUGUUGUAUAUGUAGGAUUUAAAUUGUAAAUUUUGUAAGAUAAAAUUGAAUGUAAAGUUGGGUUUAUAAAAUGGUGUAAAUCUUGUAUGGAAUUGUAUGUAAAAGAUGGAAUUUGAAAUUGGAAUUGUAGUGGUUUAUGUGUGAA